GGUGGUCCUGCCCUUCCGCAGGGAGAGCCUGGCUGAGGAGCACGAGGGGCUCGUGGGUGAGGGGCAGAGGUCCAGCUUCCUGCCCAGCUACAUCAUCGACGUGCGGGCCCUAGACGAGAAGCUGCUCAACAUCAUCGACCUGCAGUUCCUGCAUGGCUACUACGAGCCUACCCUCCUCAUCCUGUUUGAGCCCAACCAGACCUGGCCUGGGCGCGUGGCCGUGCGGCAGGACACGUGCUCCAUUGUGGCCAUCUCACUGAACAUCACGCAGAAGGUGCACCCCGUCAUCUGGUCCCUCACCAGCCUGCCCUUUGACUGCACCCAGGCUCUGGCUGUGCCCAAGCCCAUAGGUGUGUGUCCUGGGAGUGGAUAGGGGAGUGUGUGGAGAGAGCACUGAGCCUGCCCACCAGCCUGUGUCCACCUCCAGGUGGGGUGGUGGUGUUUGCCGUCAACUCGCUGUUGUACCUGAACCAGAGCGUCCCCCCGUAUGGCGUGGCUCUCAACAGCCUCACCACAGGAACCACGGCUUUCCCGCUUCGCACCCAGGAGGGUGUGCGGAUCACCCUGGACUGCGCCCAGGCCACCUUCAUCUCCUACGACAAGAUGGUCAUCUCCCUCAAGGGCGGCGAGAUCUACGUGCUGACCCUCAUCACCGACGGCAUGCGCAGUGUCCGAGCGUUCCACUUUGACAAGGCGGCCGC
Molecule: long non-coding RNA, 701 nt
Filed under: Homo sapiens (human)
Lineage: Eukaryota; Metazoa; Chordata; Mammalia; Primates; Hominidae
Description: non-protein coding lnc-SLC39A4-1:1
Source: RNAcentral